Molecule: long non-coding RNA, 2311 nt
Organism: Astatotilapia calliptera (eastern happy)
Lineage: Eukaryota; Metazoa; Chordata; Actinopteri; Cichliformes; Cichlidae
Source: Ensembl
GGAUAUCAGCUCGUCUCACAGCUGCUAUCCAGGCUAGACGCCUUCGUUUGGUAACACACGAGCUGCGUCAUGUUGCUUCCAGGUUGGGAAAGAAUGAAAAGACAAACCCUUUUCAAGCUUAUUCUCUUGCCGGUCGUGCGAUCGAACAUUGCAGCUGACCACACAGCAAGAACGAACCAUGGCUAUGCUUUCGCUCCUUUUUCACUUAGACCCCCAAAAUGGCGGAUCGGGCCAAAAUCCUUUCCACGCCCACCCCCGUGACAUCACGCUCCAAAGCCCUAUUAGGCUAAUCGUUGUGUCACUUCCGGUAUUUCAGACAAUCCCUUUCCGUCAAGGAUUUUUAAUUUGUUGUGGGCUUUUUGUAUUUUGUUGUGGGCUUUCUUAUAAUUUGUUGUGGGCUUUUUGUAAUUUGUUGUGGGCUUUUUGUAUUUUGUUGUGGGCUUUUUGUAUUUUGUUGUGGGCUUUUUGUAUUUUGUUGUGGGCUUUUUGUAAUUUGUUGUGGGCUUUUUGUAAUUUGUUGUGGGCUUUUUGUAAUUUGUUGUGGGCUUUUUGUAUUUUGUUGUGGGCUUUUUGUAAUUUGUUGUGGGCUUUUUGUAUUUUGUUGUGGGCUUUUUGUAUUUUGUUGUGGGCUUUUUGUAAUUUGUUGUGGGCUUUUUGUAUUUUGUUGUGGGCUUUUUGUAUUUUGUUGUGGGUUUUUUGUAAUUUGUUGUGGGGUUUUUGUAUUUUGUUGUGGGCUUUUUGUAAUUUGUUGUGGGGUUUUUGUAUUUUGUUGUGGGCUUUUUGUAAUUUGUUGUGGGCUUUUUGUAUUUUGUUGUGGGCUUUUUGUAAUUUGUUGUGGGCUUUUUGUAUUUUGUUGUGGGCUUUUUGUAAUUUGUUGUGGGGGUUUUGUAUUUUGUUGUGGGUUUUUUGUAAUUUGUUGUGGGCUUUUUGUAUUUUGUUGUGGGCUUUUUGUAUUUUGUUGUGGGCUUUUUGUAAUUUGUUGUGGGCUUUUUGUAAUUUGUUGUGGGCUUUUUGUAUUUUGUUGUGGGCUUUUUGUAUUUUUUUGUGGGCUUUUUGUAUUUUGUUGUGGGCUUUUUGUAAUUUGUUGUGGGCUUUUUGUAUUUUGUUGUGGGCUUUUUGUAAUUUGUUGUGGUUUUUUUUUAAAUUUGUUGCGGUUUUUUAAUUUGUUGCGAUUUGCACUUCCCAGCCACCGUACCUUUCUAAUGUGACGUUGUUGUCCCUGGUUCUUUCUCUGUCUCUUCCUCCGGCUCUGUUCCUGUGCUACUGAGUGCAAUUACCCCCCCCCAAGCGUAAAGCACAAGCAGUGUUGCCAACUCCUCAGUAAGGAAAAUCGCUAUUGGCUUUCCUAAAAGUCGCUAGAAGUCGCUAAAUGACGUCAUCGCCUAAUUUGCAUAAUUGGUCAUGCUAAUCUAAUUGUAACCUAUGUUGUUGGAGAGAGAAAUAACAUCGUGGAAGAGACAUAAAGUGAGUAAAAAACGUCCUAAAUGCAUUUAGAGUUUAUUUAGAACUACAAAUUAUAUUUCUUUUAGCAAUUAUUGUUUUUUUUAAUGUCACAAUUCCAACCCUGCUCCUUUACCCGGGCUUGGAUAUAAAUAUAAAUAUAGCGACAAAGUCGCUAAGUUGGCAACAUUGAGCACAAGGCUUGCCUGCGGAGUGAAGCAGCGAGAGAGAGGGUUGUGGCGGACCACCAGGUGGCUCCACUCACACCCAAGUUGAAGGGAAGUGCUGGGGUGGAGAUUUUGGCGCUUACUAUAUGUGAAGUUCUGAGAGUCAGUUAAUAAAGUUGGAGUGAGACACUGAGACCUCUCCUGUCGUUAUUACAUACCUCCACAGGGUGAGAGAAAAAAGAAAAAACACAGCUCACGAUAAGGAGCUGGCUCACGUCGUUCACGUCAAAGAUCCGGCUCUAAGAGCCAUUUCGUUUGCGACCGACACAUCACUAGUACUUAUGACUAAAUAAUACAGAAUUAGAACAUAAAUAAACUCUUAAAUCCUUAGAUUUACACAUAUAACAACAAAUGAGAGGUUGGUGGGUUGAAAAGGCCAGAGAAUAAAAGUGAAAUUUGAGCCCAGACUUAAAAGCAGAGAUGGAAGAUGCUCUUUUUAUAUCCGGCAGUAGCGGAUUCCACAAUCGUGAAGCAGUGACUGCAGACGCUCUGUCACCAUUUUGCUUAAGGUGUGAUCUUGGAACAUGUAAGAGAUCUUUACCAGUGCAUCUGAGAGAGCAAAUAAUACUAGUAAUAUAAGCUGGAGGCUGCACAUUAACAGCCUUAAAAACAAUGAGUAAAAUCUUACACUGAAUCCAAAAAAA